GUUUUCACUUUAAUUCUCCUAAAGCCCCGCCCUUGGUCCUCCUUUUCCAGCUUUGGGGCACAACGUGAAGACCCUCACAGUCAACGUCACCAUCUCCACCCUACGGUAUUCAUCAGACAUGAGCAAUGGCUAGGCCACGUUCAACUUCACUGAGAGGGUCCUGCAGAGCCUGGUGAAACCCUGGUUCCAGCAGCUCCUGGCCUGAGAAGGAUGGGGCAGCCACCUGUGUGGACGCUGUCUGCACCCACCACCCUGACCC
Long non-coding RNA from Diceros bicornis minor, 259 nucleotides. RefSeq lists it as uncharacterized. The transcript is spliced from 3 exons. The record is from RefSeq and is a predicted model, not a curated record. Lineage: Eukaryota; Metazoa; Chordata; Mammalia; Perissodactyla; Rhinocerotidae.